GGGGUUGUGGCUCAGUGGUGGAGCGCUCGCCCAGCAAGUGUGGGGCCCUGGGUUCAAUCCUCAGCACCACA
This 71-nucleotide transfer RNA is filed under the name Marmota monax (woodchuck). RNAcentral's name for it is "tRNA.Ala". It matches the Rfam family "tRNA". Rfam says of the family: Transfer RNA (tRNA) molecules are approximately 80 nucleotides in length. Their secondary structure includes four short double-helical elements and three loops (D, anti-codon, and T loops). The record is from RNAcentral. Lineage: Eukaryota; Metazoa; Chordata; Mammalia; Rodentia; Sciuridae.